AGUCAGUAUCGAGUUAGCGCUUUAUGUGGGUUGUAUCUUAUAUUCCUGCCGGUCGGUGUUUGGAUAAAGCAUUUCAGUUUAUCCAUAACAGUGUCGCAUUGUUGUUGACAUACUAAAACAAUUCCCAAUAGUAACACAUUAUUUAAGAUUUGUUGUGGAUUUUUAAUGCAGAAAACGCUGUUGUGAUUGUGAUUUUUCGUGAUUCUUCAAUGUUUAGUAAAUGCAACUGAAAGGAAUAAACAACGAAGGAUAUCGUAAAAGAGAAGGAAAACAACCCUCACAUAUGCUGGCUACACUGUGUUCUUGUGAAGAAAUAAAAUUAUGGAAAACGAUAUGGUUAGCGUAGAAUGAAAAAAAAUCAAAGGGCAUCGAAAUUGGUGAAGUUAGUGUUGGUACGACUAAGCGUAAGAAGAUGCUAUGAAAGUAUGAAAUCGAUUCAAACAUGCGCAUGUUAAACAAAAAAAAUGUCGAAAGUUGAAAUAGUAUGCGCAUUUUGACUGAAUGGCGGAAAGAAGUAGUGAAUGUUUAGAUUCUUUCUAAUUAUUCAUAUAAAUAACAAAUCAAUUUCCUCACCUAAUGCGGAAGAGGUUAUUAUGCGAUUUCUCCUAUUCGUGCCUUAAGAACUAAACCAUAAUUACGUGGCUUAUAUUCUAUUGAAAGAAAACGACGAAAAUAUGCCCAUGAAUUAUAAAAGUUGAAGUUUGUUCAAUAAACUCGAGUGUUUUGGAUGUUUCGUUGAUCAUAUUAUUGUUUGUAAUAAUAAUAAUAAUAGUAAUUGCCAGUGCCAAUUCUCGGUGAAUCUUUCGGAUGUAAUCCAGCUGAUAAUUUUCAUUAACAGUCGUAGACCACGCGGAUCUCUGCUGUAUACAGGAGGCGUCCCCAUUCCUCUCGAUUCAUGAUUAUUCGCCGCCAGCCUCGAUAGCUGAGAAGGGUCCGCAGGUCGUCCUCAAUUUGAUCGAUCCAUCUUGUCCAUCUUCUAACAACAUACCCGGCUCACCGUAACCGCCCGACCUUGGCCGUUUGGACGAGGGUUAGUCCUCUCAGCAACUGGUGCAGUUCAUGGUUCAUUCGCCUUCUCCACGUACAGUCAGCGUUUUGUAGUCCAAAGUAACCACGAUUUCCUGACAAUAUGUCGUCAACAUCGGUUUAGUCGUUCCCGAGAAUGUAAUAACUGCUACUAAUCGGUAAUGAUAUUUAUUCACGGUCGCUGAAUACAAUGGGUCAUUGUCUCAUCUUUUGACGGCCAUUCGUUCAUCACUCGAAUCGCCAAGUCGAACACGUAAACUAUGGAACAAAUAUUCCAAAGGCAAAUCAACUGAGAAUCAUUUGAUGUAAUGUCACAAGAUCACACUCAGCAUGUUAUGGAAGAGACAGAAGCGAUAAUCAAAACUCACAGUCUCUAGAAAACAGUGUUCUCAAAAGCAAUAAACCAGUAGCCACGCGAUCAAAUCGAUAGUAAUAAAUAGUAAUUAUUUCGUAUCAAUCGAGCAUCCGAAACACGAGCAAAACUGGAUCACCCGGCGCCGUACACGAGAUGUCCUCGUCGACAACUGUUGGCUCGUUGGGUGUUGAAAUAGCACACUUUCUAACAACAAGUGCAAUCAUAUAUAAUAAGGUAGUUAACCAAACACCAUCACGGUUGACAAACUAAUGAGAAUGUACCGAGUGUGAUAUUAAGUGCAUUCACCUAAGGUGAAGUCGGUCGCCAAGCGAACAUAAAAUCAUCGGAAAAUUGAAUACGAAUUUCUUGUCACAAAAUAAGCAAUCAGCAAGAUGCAAUCGUGUAACACAACAGUAGCAACGCUAAGAAGGCACCUGCAUCGAUUCGUGAUCAUGUUGAUAGUAAUAGUUAGCUGCUCUUUAGAUAGGAUUGAAAGUUGGACGCCAGAUGUCCUAACCAAGUCGUACAUUACGUAUGAUAACACGAUACCAGCCUUUUUCGGCAACAGCACUGACUAUUUUAAGCUGCUCGAUCAGGACGACGCUUCGAUACUGAUCGGAGCACGGAAUGCACUUUACAACAUCAGUCUCGACCGUCUGAUUGAGAAUGCGAACCAACGAGUGACAUGGAGCUCGUCGGAUGCACACCGAGAACUGUGUACGCUUAAGGGCAAGCUGGAUCAGGAUUGCCAAAAUUAUAUCCGCGUAUAUGCACGGGUCGGGGCCAAUAGGAUUAUGCUGUGCGGGACGAACUCGUACAAACCGCUGUGUCGUUACUAUAACGUACUUCCCAGCGAUGGGACCAUAGCCUAUGAUAGCAACGAAAUGGAAGCACUCGGACGAUGUCCGUAUAAUCCGCUUCAUAACAGCACUUAUGUUUAUACAGAUGGUCAUUUAUACUCAGCGACGGUGGCCGAUUUUUCCGGUGCAGACCCGUUGAUUUACCGAGAACCUCAAAGAACGGAACAGUAUGACAGCAAGCAGCUUAAUCAGCCGGCAUUCGUAAGUGCGAUUGAACACAACGGAUACGUGUUAUUCUUUUUCCGCGAGGUGGCCGUCGAGUACAUGAACUGUGGCAAAGCGAUCUAUUCCCGCGUUAGCCGCGUGUGCAAAAACGACAAAGGAGGGCCACAUCCGCUGAACGACAAGUGGACGUCGUUUCUGAAAGCGCGACUGAAUUGUUCCAUUCCUGGAGAGUAUCCUUUCUACUUUGAUGAAAUUCAAUCCACUACAAAAACAAUAAACGGCAUUUAUGGAGGUAGUUCGAAUCAGAUUAUCUACGCAAUCAUGACUACUCCCAAGAAUGCGAUCGGAGGAUCGGCCGUUUGUGCUUUCUCGAUUCAGGAUAUUCUUGACACGUUCGAAGGUCCUUUCAAAUCGCAACGUGAUAGCCACUCUAAUUGGUUGCAGGUUCCUCAGAGCCAAGUUCCCGAGCCUCGCCCAGGAAAGUGUGUUGAUGACAGUCGAACGUUGCCGAAAGCUUCGGUGAAUUUUGUUAAAAUGAACACUUUAAUGGAUUCUGCAGUGAAUUCCCUUCAUUCGCGACCAGUUUUUACGCGAGUUAGUUUACUCUACCGUCUAUCGGCAAUCACAGUUGAUCCACAGGUGAAAGCUCUCGAUGGGAAAACGUAUGACAUUAUAUUUGUAGGCACUAACGAUGGAAAGGUUAUCAAAUUUGUUAACAUUUUAUCAUCCAACACAACCGGUGAUAUCAGAACAGUCGUUAUUAGUGAAACGCAGGCCUUCCCACUAGGAAACAAAGUCAACGAGUUGACUAUUUCCAAAAAGAAUAAAAAGCUUAUUGUGAUAAGCAAUGGAAAAAUCAUAUCGCUUCCGUUGAGCAAUUGCAACGAACACGAGUUCAAAUCUUGUCGUAAAUGUUUGGAACUGCAAGACCCUUAUUGUGCUUGGGAUGACGUGAACCGAGAAUGUCGUGCCGUGGAAGAUAUACCCACCAACAGUUAUUCGAUUGAGAAUUUGUACCAACGGUUGGAUGGUUUAAAAGUAAACGAAAUCUGCAAAAAGUAUGAUCAACGUGAUCAACGCCAGCACAAAACUGAGGACAACGAUGUGUACACACGGGUCGAUGGCUCAGGUAGUGCUGAAAAGGAGAAGCCCAGCGAUACGAAAAACGUCGUCAUCAUUCAGUCCACUCGGGGAACCGUGUCCGCCGUUGGUCCGAUUGAUAUAGAUAAUGAAAUAUCAAUGACCUCAAUCGAAGGAAGUGAGUUGACGAACAAAAUCAGCUCCCACCAGUAUCAUCAUAAGACAGAUUCCAUCGCAAAAGAAGACAUUUCCGUUGCGUCAUUAGGAUGGAAAUUCUACGGUAUUUUGGUGGCGUUCUCGUUUGUAAUUGGAAUUUUACUCGGUGGUCUGAUUACACGUCGUUUUCUUAUCAGAAAGCCGUCCUUUCCCGGCAGCAGUGAGCAUCGAAAUCAGUUAAAUUGGCACCACGCCAAGAAUUUGAGCAUGUUAUCACAGAACCGAACAAGUGGGAAAGAUGUCAAUCUACUGAUGAACACCAAUCAGUAUCACACGCAACAUCAAGCAAUUGUUCAACAACUACAGCAACAGCAAAAUAACAUGAAAGACAAUAUUGACUUCGACUUCAAGGAUCGAAGUGUUGAAUGCAAAAAUUCCACGGAAAACUUGGAAAAGGACAUCAGCAAAGGAAUGGGCACCCUGCAGAAGGUGAAGAAGACGUAUAUUUGAUAGUAAGACUGACUGCUUUCGGUGAUUGGGACAAAUAACCGCUCGCUGUGCUACUGCGCAAACCCUCCCGCAACCCAUACAUACACACACACUUUUUAGAUAUUUCGACCGCCACUCAAGUUCUUCACCAGUUGGAGUCGUCAAAAUUAUCUCUCCUUCUUCUGCCUGUGGAUUGUUUCUUCUUUUUCAUCUAAAGCAUAUUAAGACUCGACAGUUGAAGACAUUCAAACCUUAGAAGAAUUGUAAGUGAUUCAAAAAGUUACAAAUGUAAUUUGUAACUUUCUCACCAUUCAUUGCCUUGAGCUGAUACUGAUAGAAGCAACAGGACGGAAAAUAUGUGUACAGGACCAAUAUUAUAGUGAGAGACUGCGUGCCUAGCACAACCCAUUCCCUGUCUAGCCAACCGUAGUUGGUCUAUUCAGAAAUGGAGGCCUUACAGUAGAAUAAAACCACGUGCCCAUUAUGCACUGAAAUGUGCGCAAAAAAACAGGAAAUGCCUUUUGUGAUCCUUGUGAUGCUUGUGAUCAAUGGUAAACCCUACUAUUAGGCCGACAACCAUUCGCGAACAUUACUCACAAUCUUUGAUAUGCGUCCAUCCCCCGAUGAAUGAACUAUAAUACCUAGGUAUACCCUUGCUUAAGGAAACGGGCUUACCAUAAACGGAUGAACAAGUGACCAAAUUUCCGUUUUGGAUAGGGAAGCAAUUCAAUUCAUAAUUACGAGUGGUGCAGUAGAACGGGCGUCAAAUUGUAUACGUAUUCUAAUAUUCGGCAUACUAUCAAGUUCUUGCUAAAACAAGAAUAUCUAUCAUUUAAAGCUACUACGCCAAGUUGCUAAAAGUGAUGUUCAUACCAUGUCUAGGUAUAUGAUGCGAUUAUUUGCCAUGUGUGACACCAAAUUUGACCCUGGUUCUUACUGUAAAUGCACUCUUUGUUUUUUCAUUACAUUAAUGAUUUAGCUAAUAGCCCUUAGUUUUAGCAAGUCUUUAAUUCACAAUAAUUAUUCUGUUAGCGCGCAAGUAUCACACAAAAAAUUGCCACCGGGAAUCGAUAUUCAUGACAGAGAAUUUAGAAAAGGGCACUCAUUUUCCAUCAUAGAGAACUAUUAUGAAUUUUUAUAUGUAAUUAUUAUGAACAUUUUAUGUUAAUUGCUCAAGAAUCUCAAUCGAAAAUACUCCGGAAUGUAAACUAAACGCGAAACGCUAAGCAACAACGCAAGUAUUUUCUAUAAACAUUUUUUUAAUAAGUUUCGUUUGUUUAGUGUAAGCAUCUCCAACCUUGUUUGAAAAGCAAUACAUGUUGUGAACGUCGACAUCCAUCCAUUAAGACCGAAUAUAACGCAUUUUUUGGGUUAGAUCGAGUGGUUCGUUGAUGAGAUCAUCUUUUGAAAAGUUAGGCUAUGUAAUUGUGAACAAAACAAAACCAUGAGAAUAGAUUUUUUUAUAUAUUUAUGCUUAGUUAAAUACGAACAAAAAAUGUGAUAAACUUGAGUAUUUUUUAUUUUGUAUUGUAGAUCGCACUAGGUUUUUAUCUGUAAGGGGAUUAAGUAUAAACCCACAAAUGGACAACCUUACUUGUAGAAUAUUUUUAUUUAAAUAGAAGAAUGAAUGAAUAAUUCGUUGAGAGUUUGUAAUAAAUACUUCGAGACAUUGUAACUCGUUAAAUCGUGGACGAAAAUUGUAAUUAAUUUACGUGUAGAAGUUAAUUUCAUGUUCUAGAAUAAUUUUAGAAUAAAAUGACGUAGUUUUCAGGAUGACAAAAGUAUGUUUUAUUUUGU
RNA transcript from Malaya genurostris, 5928 nucleotides. It is a transcript of the gene named semaphorin-1A, with no coding region annotated. NCBI's taxonomy places the organism in Eukaryota, Metazoa, Arthropoda, Insecta, Diptera, Culicidae. The record is from RefSeq and is a predicted model, not a curated record. The transcript has 11 exons.